UACGGAGGGUGCAAGCGUUGCUCGGAAUUAUUGGGCGUAAAGGGGAGGUAGGUGGUCUCGUUUGUCGGGGGUGAAAUCCCGGGGCUUAACCCCGGAACUGCCCUCGAAACGGCGAGACUAGAGUAUUGGAGAGGGUCGUGGAAUACCCGGUGUAGCGGUGAAAUGCGUAGAGAUCGGGUGGAACACCAGAGGCGAAGGCGACGACCUGGACAAUUACUGACACUCAACUCCGAAAGCAUGGGGAGCAAACAGG
This 253-nucleotide ribosomal RNA is filed under the name uncultured bacterium. Its description in RNAcentral is "partial 16S ribosomal RNA". It matches the Rfam family "Bacterial small subunit ribosomal RNA", at positions 524 to 776 of the family's 1533-position model. The record is from RNAcentral.